CUCAACAUGCAAGAUUAACUAAGUGCUUAGCAGUUAGUUUUGCUAUGGGCGGUACGUAAAGAAAUUUGCGUGCGUUUACCUGUCAAACUCGGGGAAGCCAUUAGCGCGGUAAUCCCGAACCAAGCUCUCGCAAGAGAGAAGGUGUAGAGACUGGAAGGCAGGCAUCCUAACGUUAAGCCGAGGAUGAAGGGACAGUCCAGACCACAAACUGGUUAACUAAAAGCUAGUUAAUUCAGGCAGUGAAAGCUGUAGAUGAUGGUAAGCAUAA
RNAcentral lists this non-coding RNA (268 nucleotides) under Stanieria sp. The record is from RNAcentral. Lineage: Bacteria; Bacillati; Cyanobacteriota; Cyanophyceae; Pleurocapsales; Dermocarpellaceae.